ACCACACACACACACACACACACACACACACACACACACACACACGUUUCCAUAGAGAGAGGUUGCACUUUGCAUUAGCAGCUCAUGCUUCAGCGCUCUGCGAGUGUUUAUAGCCCUGUGACUUUAACACUUCAUGACUGAGAGCUGCUGCUCAGCGACUUCACCCACAGCAACCAUGAGUUUGAUCAGCGUCUUCAUCUGCACACUGGCCCUCUGCGCUCGAGGAUCCAGAGGUCAGGUGACUGUGACUCAGAGUCCUGCAGUGAAAUCUGUUUCUCCAGGAGACACACUCACCAUCAGCUGUAAAACCAGUCCUGAUGUUUACUAUAGUGGUGGUUAUUAUUUGUCCUGGUAUCAGCAGAAACCGGGACAAGCUCCUAAACUCCUGAUCUACAGGGCUAGCAAUAGAGCAUCAGGUAUUCCAGCUCGUGUCAGUGGCAGUGGAUCUGGAUCUGAUUUCACUCUCACCAUCAGAGGAGUCCAGGCUGAAGAUGCUGGAGAUUAUUACUGUCAGUGUGUCCCUAAUGUCAGUAACUGGAUGUUCACACAGUGUUAGAGCGUCGUACAAAAACCUGGGUGAGUGUGACUGCUGCAGCUGGGACCUACUGCAGGUGCUGAGGGGGACGAUGUGAUACAGCACAAUGACACACACUGGAGCGAGUCCUCCAGUCCAACAGCUGUGUAGUAGAGAUCGUCUCUCUGUCCACUGUGCUGAGACGAGCUGAGAGCUGACAGCAACGUGGCUGCUCUAAAUGAGAGAUUUAACACACGCAGGAGACGCCUGUGUUUAUCUCAUAGUCACGCUGAUGAUUCUUACUUAUUCUUACUUAUUUCAGUAGUUUAUUUUCUGUUUUAUAAUAGCAUAUUAUUUAUUUAUUCUUGUUUUUUUAUUUAUGUUCAUCACAUAGUUAACUAGCUAAGCUAAAUCCCUGAUAACCUUUACUAUAGAUAUAGGGAUUUAAUAGCUUUCUCACAGGAUCACAUGAUUUGAAGCACAAACCAAUUACGAAAGACAAAAUUAAAACUGAAUAAAAUAUCAAGCACCAGAUGGAGCACUAAUGAUGAUAAUC
Non-coding RNA from Pangasianodon hypophthalmus (striped catfish), 1070 nucleotides. NCBI's taxonomy places the organism in Eukaryota, Metazoa, Chordata, Actinopteri, Siluriformes, Pangasiidae. The record is from the annotation of a RefSeq genome assembly.